UACGAAGGGGGCUAGCGUUGUUCGGAUUUACUGGGCGUAAAGCGCACGUAGGCGGCUUGUUAAGUCAGGGGUGAAAUCCCGGAGCUCAACUCCGGAACUGCCUUUGAUACUGGCAAUCUUGAGACUGGAAGAGGUUAGUGGAAUUCCCAGUGUAGAGGUGAAAUUCGUAGAUAUUGGGAAGAACACCAGUGGCGAAGGCGGCUAACUGGUCCAGUACUGACGCUGAGGUGCGAAAGCGUGGGGAGCAAACAGG
RNAcentral lists this ribosomal RNA (253 nucleotides) under uncultured bacterium. RNAcentral describes it as "partial 16S ribosomal RNA". It matches the Rfam family "Bacterial small subunit ribosomal RNA", at positions 524 to 776 of the family's 1533-position model. The record is from RNAcentral.